AGAAAAUGCUGAGAUUUCAUGCUCACGUGACUAAGGGAAAGGAGAGAUGAAAAUGUGAUAAGGAAUUAGAAUGCUUAGUUUCUUUAAAUUGGCAAAAUAGGUAAUGAGAGAGGUUAUGGUGAUUCUCUGUAAGUGCAAAAGCUUUUAAAAACUGGGGACCAUAAGAUUUUGUCUCAGCAGAUUGGCAGACUAGAUUUUUAACAGAGCAGAAGGGAUCAUCUGAUCUAUGUCAAAUCAGAUGAAACAUUUUCAUCUGACUCAGCUUGAGCAGGUAUGUUUGUGUUCCCUUUUCAGCAAGGCACCCUGGCAGCCUAUGUAGUAAGACAGUAGCUCAUCAAGCUCCUGACUGCAGCGUGUCCCAGCAGGCUGCAGAAGGGUCAUGUCUUACACAGAGUCCCCACUGUGGCUUUGCUCUGCUGGGUCAAGGGAAACAUGAGGUGACAAUUUUUGCCCUUUCCUAUUAAUAGUUAAAAUGGUAGAAGGAGAAAGAAGAGGUCUGUACGGAUUUUGUCUUCAAGAUUGAUUUUAUAAUUUCAGGGGAACAUGGAAAGAUGGACCCGCUCCAAGGCUUUUGACUUCCCACACCUUUAAGAGAGAGACAGCAGGAUGACAUCUCAGAUGCUCUGUAGCUGUCCCAGAUCGUGACUGUUUUCUUCUGAAGAGCAAAUGUGCGAUUCAAAGGGCGCCUGGCAAAAGCUUCUUCUAGUUCUGCAGCAGCAGCACGGGAAGUAUUUCAUGUACAUAGAAGAUCAAGCAUCCAUGUAGACAGUUGUUUUCUGCAACAUUUUGUGA
This 792-nucleotide long non-coding RNA is filed under the name Numida meleagris (helmeted guineafowl). Its description in RNAcentral is "lncRNA (ENSNMEG00000014498.1)". The record is from RNAcentral. Lineage: Eukaryota; Metazoa; Chordata; Aves; Galliformes; Numididae.